AGCAUUUAUUUGUGUCUUUGAUAAUCUGUAACAAAGCCAUACAGACAGGUGAAGUAAAUCCUCGUUUGCACCCCAGAACUCAUUGCUAAGAAUGACAUUUUGGUACACGUAAGAAGGAAUAUG
Small nucleolar RNA from Dipodomys ordii (Ord's kangaroo rat), 123 nucleotides. NCBI's taxonomy places the organism in Eukaryota, Metazoa, Chordata, Mammalia, Rodentia, Heteromyidae. The record is from Ensembl.